This 28-nucleotide non-coding RNA is filed under the name Mus musculus (house mouse). Lineage: Eukaryota; Metazoa; Chordata; Mammalia; Rodentia; Muridae. The record is from RNAcentral.
UGAAGGUAUGCCUGUAUCCUCUCAGUAC